AUUGAACGCUGGCGGCAGGCCUAACACAUGCAAGUCGAGCGAGCGGCGGACGGGUGAGUAAUGUCUGGCAAACUGCUUGCUGGAGCGGGAUAACUACUGGAUACGGUCGCUAAUUCCUCCUACCAUCAGAUGUGCCUAGAUGGGAGUAGCUAGUGGGUGGGUGAACGGCUCACCUAGGCGACGAUCCCUAGCUGGUCUGAGAGGAUGACCAGCCACACUGGAACUGAGACACGGUCCAGACUCCUACGGGAGGCAGCAGUGGGGAAUAUUGCACAAUGGGCGCAAGCCUGAUGCAGCCAUGCCGCGUGUGUGAAGAAGGCCUUCGGGUUGUAAAGCACUUUCAGCGGGGAGGCGUUACCCGCAGAAGAAGCACCGGCUAACUCCGUGCCAGCAGCCGCGGUAAUUC
This 406-nucleotide ribosomal RNA is filed under the name uncultured bacterium. Its description in RNAcentral is "partial 16S ribosomal RNA". It matches the Rfam family "Bacterial small subunit ribosomal RNA", at positions 30 to 526 of the family's 1533-position model. The record is from RNAcentral.